RNAcentral lists this ribosomal RNA (253 nucleotides) under uncultured bacterium. RNAcentral's name for it is "partial 16S ribosomal RNA". It matches the Rfam family "Bacterial small subunit ribosomal RNA", at positions 524 to 776 of the family's 1533-position model. The record is from RNAcentral.
UACGGGGGGGGCAAGCGUUGUUCGGAAUUACUGGGCGUAAAGGGCUCGUAGGCGGCCAACUAAGUCAGACGUGAAAUCCCUCAGCUUAACUGGGGAACUGCGUCUGAUACUGGAUGGCUUGAGUUCGGGAGAGGGAUGCGGAAUUCCAGGUGUAGCGGUGAAAUGCGUAGAUAUCUGGAGGAACACCAAUGGCGAAGGCAGCUCGCUGGGACGGUACUGACGCUGAGACGCGAAAGCGUGGGGAGCAAACAGG